UUGCUAAUUAAUUUUUGCUUACAAUGCGUUGUUGCAACAAGAAGAUCAUAAAUUCAGCCAAUCACAACAAUUGCGAUUGUAAUAAAGAUCGAUGCAGGGUAUCCGGAAUCGCGCGGUUGCGAUACAGGAUCACCGGCCGGCAACGCAUCGCUGCUGUACCGCCUCCUUUUCGCGGCUGUAUCGCUGCAGUCGCGGUGGGAGAUCACCCUUACGGAGAGGCGGCGGUGAGCGGUGAGCGAGCGCACCUAGGUACAAAGACAAACAUUUAUGGUU
Molecule: long non-coding RNA, 273 nt
Organism: Maniola jurtina (meadow brown)
Lineage: Eukaryota; Metazoa; Arthropoda; Insecta; Lepidoptera; Nymphalidae
Exons: 3
Source: RefSeq, a predicted model, not a curated record